AAUUUUGGACAAUGGGGGAAACCCUGAUCCAGCCAUCCCGCGUGUAUGAUGAAGGUCUUCGUAUCGUAUAGCUCUGUCCUCAGGGAAGAAGAAAGUGACGGUACCUGAGUAGGAAGCCCCGGCUAACUACGUGCCAGCAGCCGCGGUAAUACGUAGGGGGCAAGCGUUGUCCGGAAUUAUUGGGCGUAAAGGGUGCGUAGGCGGCUUUUUAAGUCAGAUGUGAAAGACCACAGCUUAACUGUGGGGUUGCAUUUGAAACUGGAGAGCUUGAGUAUCGGAGAGGGUAGUGGAAUUCCUGGAGUAGCGGUGAAAUGCGUAGAUAUCAGGAGGAACACCAGUGGCGAAGGCGACUACCUGGACGAAAACUGACGCUGAGGCACGAAAGCUAGGGGAGCAAACA
Molecule: ribosomal RNA, 400 nt
Filed under: uncultured bacterium
Lineage: Bacteria
Description: partial 16S ribosomal RNA
Rfam family: Bacterial small subunit ribosomal RNA
Source: RNAcentral